RNAcentral lists this long non-coding RNA (514 nucleotides) under Struthio camelus australis. RNAcentral describes it as "lncRNA (ENSSCUG00000012692.1)". Lineage: Eukaryota; Metazoa; Chordata; Aves; Struthioniformes; Struthionidae. The record is from RNAcentral.
CUUGGUUUUUAGUUUCUCUCUGGUAUUGUCUGCUACUAGAUAGAAGAUGCAGUAGCUAGGCAGACCAAAAAACUNNNNNNNNNNNNNNCCUGCUGACAAUAGGAGCAGUUCCCUUCUUCUAUCCUCCUCUCUCCAUGAAGGAAAAGAACCCAGACUUCUCAUUGCUUGAUAAGGAGGCAAACAAGCCUUGUUAUCUCCAUUCUACAGAAACAGGAGCUUCAGGCAGGGGGAAGGGUCACCUUGGAAAAUUCAGUAGGUGCCUAUCUGCUUCUUAAAGCUAUCCUAUAACCGAGACAACAUCUGAGGCAGAGACGGACAAAGGAUUCUGCGUCCAUCUUUCAAUCUCAUGUCUCCAACCACAAAUCAUGCUGCUAGCUUUUCUACUCCUCUGUGAGGGAAACUUCAUUUUUCAUUUUAUAUUGGAAGGAGCAGGAGAAAAAGGGGAGAUAGGCUGACUGUAGAAUCUCCUGCUCCUAAUGGGAACACUGCUACAGCUUGUUUUAUGACCAAGACU